RNAcentral lists this ribosomal RNA (454 nucleotides) under uncultured bacterium. RNAcentral describes it as "partial 16S ribosomal RNA". It matches the Rfam family "Bacterial small subunit ribosomal RNA", at positions 28 to 507 of the family's 1533-position model. The record is from RNAcentral.
GAUGAACGCUGACAGAAUGCUUAACACAUGCAAGUCCACUUGAACUUCGGUUUGGGUGGCGGACGGGUGAGUAACGCGUAAAGAACUUGCCUCACAGAUAGGGACAACAUUUGGAAACGAAUGCUAAUACCUGAUAUUAUGAUUUUAGGGCAUCCUAGGAUUAUGAAAGCUAUAUGCGCUGUGAGAGAGCUUUGCGUCCCAUUAGCUAGUUGGAGAGGUAACGGCUCACCAAGGCGAUGAUGGGUAGCCGGCCUGAGAGGGUGAUCGGCCACAAGGGGACUGAGACACGGCCCUUACGCCUACGGGAGGCAGCAGUGGGGAAUAUUGGACAAUGGACCAAGAGUCUGAUCCAGCAAUUCUGUGUGCACGAUGAAGUUUUUCGGAAUGUAAAGUGCUUUCAGUUGGGAAGAAAAAAAUGACGGUACCAACAGAAGAAGUGACGGCUAAAUACGUG